GUUAAUACCAUAAAGUUAAUAUUCCUUCGGAAUAGAGCAACAAAGAAUGAGCGAGCGAGAUGUCACUAUCUGCAACCCUGUGUGAUAAAAAGAGAUGUGUGAUGCUAUCAUCGUCACGUCAAUAGAACCAUUUUUGCAAAAGAUUUGACAGGCAGUGACACAUAGAGGCACAAAGAAAAUUUUAAAUUAUAGUUUUUUAUAAAAAUAUCGUAAAAUCCUGUUUAUUUUUGGAAAAUUUGUUUUCUUAUAUAAUGGUGACCUGUUCCGUCCUUGAUUGUGAUGUACACCAAAGGAAUAAUCCUGCAAAAUAUUCAUUUCACAGAUGUUUGUACUGUGCGGGAAUCAAACCCGCUACCUCCGGAAUAGUAGUCCGUUUCAAACCACUACACUAUACGGCCAACAACGAUUAUUACAUCGUUAGAAUCCUAUUUUCUUACGUUAUCGUCAGAAUUAUCAUUUUUUAAUUAUUGUUUUACUCCUACUAAUAUUAUAAAUGCGAAAGUUUGUAUGGAUGUCUUGAUGUUUGUAACUCUCAUUCUUCCAAAUAAAUAAGUUGAAUAAUUUUAA
This is a long non-coding RNA of Ostrinia nubilalis (European corn borer), 567 nucleotides long. RefSeq lists it as uncharacterized. The record is from RefSeq and is a predicted model, not a curated record. Lineage: Eukaryota; Metazoa; Arthropoda; Insecta; Lepidoptera; Crambidae. The transcript has 2 exons.